CGGACGGGUGAGGAAUACAUCGGAAUCUACUCUGUCGUGGGGGAUAACGUAGGGAAACUUACGCUAAUACCGCAUACGACCUACGGGUGAAAGCAGGGGAUCUUCGGACCUUGCGCGAUUGAAUGAGCCGAUGUCGGAUUAGCUAGUUGGCGGGGUAAAGGCCCACCAAGGCGACGAUCCGUAGCUGGUCUGAGAGGAUGAUCAGCCACACUGGAACUGAGACACGGUCCAGACUCCUACGGGAGGCAGCAGUU
This 254-nucleotide ribosomal RNA is filed under the name uncultured Stenotrophomonas sp. RNAcentral's name for it is "partial 16S ribosomal RNA". It matches the Rfam family "Bacterial small subunit ribosomal RNA", at positions 99 to 355 of the family's 1533-position model. The record is from RNAcentral. Lineage: Bacteria; Pseudomonadati; Pseudomonadota; Gammaproteobacteria; Lysobacterales; Lysobacteraceae.